This 764-nucleotide unclassified non-coding RNA is filed under the name Leishmania donovani. RNAcentral's name for it is "gene:unknown". The record is from RNAcentral. Lineage: Eukaryota; Euglenozoa; Kinetoplastea; Trypanosomatida; Trypanosomatidae.
CGUGAUGUUGCCUCGGUCGCAGCAGCGGACAGCAGCAGCGAUACCAAAAUCACGAAUAGUUCUCACGGGUGCGCUUGCGUCUGGCGCGCGUUCUCUUGCUGUGCGGGGUCUUCCUCUCUGCAUUUUUGCCUUCGUUUUCUGUUCGGGUUUUGCAUGUGCGAUGUGAGGAGGAAGAGCGAGAGAGACGAGGGCGUGAGCGCCCCACGCGUUGAUCGGAGAGAGGGAGGGGCAUCCUGCAGUGAGCCAUCCGACGAAUGGGCGCUUCGCUCUGACCAACUCGCUGGCCGGCUCCGCGCCCUGCUGCCCCUCAUAGCUUGCUACAGUCCUCUCCUUAGCCUCCCCUCCUCUGCCCUUCUCGCCCAACGCAGAAGUCUGAUCGCACAAGAAGAAGGGCUGUAGCACAACGUGUGGGCGACAGCGAUGACAACCGAACAGAGAAUACAGACGUCUCUCUCUCACGGUGCGAGAAAUCGGCGAGAGGAGAGCGUAGGGAGGAUGCCGUCGACCUGUAUAGUGAUGCCCUACCAGGGUAGUCGGGUGGGAUUCAGGGACUACCUGUCCGCGCAUAAUGUGAAGGUGUGUACAGAUCCCUUGCACUGACCCGUGUGAUGCUAUCUCUCUCUCCCUUUUUUUUUUUGGACUCCCUCCUCCUUACACGAUCGCUGUGCCGUUGCGAUGGCAACUGCUACUGCGGUUUCCUUCUCCUAUUGGCCGCCUCUUGUUUUACGUUUGGUCGUGUGCCGCCGUGAGAGCGAGAUAUACAC